This 397-nucleotide ribosomal RNA is filed under the name uncultured bacterium. RNAcentral describes it as "bacterial SSU rRNA". It matches the Rfam family "Bacterial small subunit ribosomal RNA", at positions 28 to 418 of the family's 1533-position model. The record is from RNAcentral.
GAUGAACGCUGGCGGCGUGCCUAAUACAUGCAAGUCGAACGAGGUGCUUUUGUAGCAAUACGAAAGUAUCCUAGUGGCGAACGGGUGAGUAACGCGUUGGUGACCUACCCCAAAGUGUGGAAUAACAGUUCGAAAGAACUGCUAAUACCGCAUGUGGUUAUCGGGUUUAGAAACUGAUAACUAAAGGAGCAAUUCGCUUUGGGAGGGACCUGCGUCCCAUCAGCUAGUUGGUGAGGUAAUGGCUCACCAAGGCGACGACGGGUAGGGGACCUGAGAGGGUGACCCCCCACAAUGGAACUGAAACACGGUCCAUACACCUACGGGUGGCAGCAGUAGGGAAUAUUGCACAAUGGGCGAAAGCCUGAUGCAGCAACGCCGCGUGUGCGAUGAAGGCCUU